GGGUGUGUGGGGUGGCCCCUCAGCCCAGAUGGUGAGAGGGCGCAGGCCAGGCUGAAGGACCCCACCGGGGCCGG
RNAcentral lists this microRNA precursor (74 nucleotides) under Myotis brandtii (Brandt's bat). RNAcentral describes it as "mir-9193 microRNA precursor family". It matches the Rfam family "mir-9193 microRNA precursor family". The record is from Rfam by way of RNAcentral. Lineage: Eukaryota; Metazoa; Chordata; Mammalia; Chiroptera; Vespertilionidae.